This 253-nucleotide ribosomal RNA is filed under the name uncultured bacterium. Its description in RNAcentral is "partial 16S ribosomal RNA". It matches the Rfam family "Bacterial small subunit ribosomal RNA", at positions 524 to 776 of the family's 1533-position model. The record is from RNAcentral.
UACGUAGGGUGCAAGCGUUAAUCGGAAUUACUGGGCGUAAAGCGUGCGCAGGCGGUGAUGUAAGACAGGUGUGAAAUCCCCGGGCUUAACCUGGGAACUGCACUUGAAACUACGAUGCUGGAGUAUGGCAGAGGGAGGUGGAAUUCCACGUGUAGCGGUGAAAUGCGUAGAGAUGUGGAGGAACACCGAUGGCGAAGGCAGCCUCCUGGGCCAAUACUGACGCUCAUGCACGAAAGCGUGGGGAGCAAACAGG